AAAAAAAUUAAUUAAAAGUAUAAUUUUUUUUUUCUAAAGCGGGUAUUAGUCAACAAGUCUCACUGGAAACUAAUAUCUCUACUUUCUCUGAAAAAAUUUUCGAUCUCUCUCAAUCCACCUCUUUCGCUCCUCCAUCCGAAAUCAAAACCAUCUCAUCGACUCCCUUCUCCACCGUAGGCAUACCUUCUCCCUCUCUUCCAUUUGCUAGAGUUCUCGCCACUGGAAUCUAAGUCUAUCUCAUUCCUAUCAAAGUUCCCUCUUCAUUUUAUCCUUUUUAACAUAAAAAUGGUUAGGUCCUGCCUUUAGCGUUUUGGAUUAUAUACAAAAAAGCGCUGUGAGAUAUUUGCAAUAUUUAUCAUUUAGAGUAUGGGAUUUGCAAUGUUUAUUUUUUAGAGCUGAAAAUUUUUUGGUGUGCAAACUAGUAGCUGAUUUAAGAUUGUUGUGACAAGAUAGAUCUCAUACACUGGAUUUUUUUUUCUUACAAAAAAUCGAAGUUCCAAAGAAAAGUGGCUUAAGGCAUAAUGUAAGGGGUGGCCUUCUACCACAUGGCCCUGGGGGUUGUUAGUAAAUCUGAAUGGUUCUGAAAUCCUUUAACGAUUUUUCUUAGGGAUGAUGAUGUUGUUCUUUUACCUAUGAGCACAGAAGUAGUAAGAAAGCUUGACUAUUGCAAUCUAUUAUGUGCUUUUUUUUGGUACAUCGGCAAGUUGCCCAAAAAGUCAGAAAGUAAAAAAGACCGCAAGAGAGACGGGAUAGAGGCCAGAUCUUUCCAGAUAAAAUCAAUGGAGUGAUAAACCGCAUAGGAUGCCACCCAGUCUACUGCAUUGUUGGCCUCUCUAUAAACAUGAGUAGCUCGAUGGGAAGCGCAUUCGCUUAAAUACGACGAAUAUCGUGGAUCAGUUGCAACCCCCCUCAGCACUCCCAGGAUCCUGGAUCCCCUCAAUCACCAUAACGGAGUCCCCCUCAAGGAUAAUGCGGUCCGCUCCCAACAUCCGUCUCGCAUAGGAGACGCCCUCCCAGGUAGCUCUGAGCUCGUGUGCCUUUAAGAUAUUCUAAUCCCUUUCUAUAUAAUGAUACAUGCCCUCAUAUAUAUACAUUUAUAACAAUAAAUAUUAUGUGCUAGUUUUCGAUGAAAUAACAUAUAGUGGUUGUUAUAAAUAAAAAAUAAUGAAGUAUAAUAAUCUUAUGAUUAGUGAAAGAACUUUCAUUACUCUUUUUCGAGCAAUAUUUUUACAGAAAAAACUGAGGAGCAGGCAUUAGACUAAUCUAAGUGUUAAAACAAGUUGAAAUAGAUAAAAAUAAAAUUAUAAUUUUUUACAUGUAAACCCUACAAAAUAUGUGAAAUAGCAUGAAUACCCUUCCAAAGUUGCUAUUUACAUGUCUACCUUUAUAAAUAUUUUUUUUGGCAUAUCUACCCAUUAAGAAUAUUUCAGUUAUUUUCAAUUUUAAACUGCUAAUUUCUUAAUAAUGUUAGAUGGUGUGGGUGCAUAUAUAAGAAAAAAAAUGAUAUACAUAUAAAACAAGUUUUGUAAAGUUAUAUAUAUCAAUAUUAAUUUGGAAGGAUAUUCAUGCAAAUUCCAAUAUUUGGGAGAGUAUGUACGCAAGAAAACCCAAAAAAUAAGAAUAACUUUGAAAAAUCAAUUUUGUUUCUCAGCAAGGAGUAUCAAUUAUAUCUGUGUUGAUUAUUUUACAUAUAAAGGUACACAUCUGAAGCUUUUUGUCUUGUAAUUUUAAUUUAAUUUGCAAAAAAGUUGAUUAGAAAGCCAGAUAUUACCUGACCACCAAAUUGUAAUUACUCAAAUUUUGAGAGGCAAUUUGUUAACAUCAGCAAGGCCACAAUCCCUAGGGCAACUUUGUUAACAUUAGUAAGGCCACAAAAUGAUUGUAAAUGUGAGAGGCAAUGCCACCAUGCAUGUAACGUAGCAUUCUAGAUAGGGAAGCGAUAACAUGGCUGUCCUCCGUGUUUGUCCCUGAUCCAAUUAUUGGUAAUAUUUUCUUUUUAGAACAAUAAUUUCGGAAAAGCUCUCAACAUGAUGGCAGUAGCUCUUUAUUUUAUUGUCACUAUGGCCUCGUAAGAGCAGAUUUCCCUUUUGAAAGGAAAGAGUUUCGUGUAUAAAAGGAUGGCAUCAAUACUUCAGAGACUCGCAGCAUGCAAAAUAGAUUGCAAGGUCAAAUUGCAUUAGUGCAGUUGAUCUACAAGGGUUCAUCAUUGCCAAGCUUUUUCCAACUUGAAGCUGUUGGAGGUCGCAAAAGGAAUUACAGAAGUUAAUCCCUGAAAGGUCAAAUCGCAUUUAGUGCAGUUCAUCCUUGAAAACACCUGUAAAAGGACUUAGUGCAGUCCAUCGAGUUUCAACGCUGUUCAGCAUAAUUCACCUGAUCAUACAUGUGAUUUGCAUCCUAUCUUAUGAUUGUCUUCUACAGCUGCAUAUGUAGUUUUGGGAAGAAAUAUGCUAGAGGUAAGAGGAGGCACAAUCACUUCAAGCUGGCAACCAACAAUUGCAACAGACAAACAGGUAAGCUAUGUCAAGUGGAAGCUGAUUGCACAAUACUUGAUUGCCCCUUGAUAACUGGAAGAGAGUCGCCUCAGAAUCUAGUGACCCAUCGGGGGCGGUGGGGGUGGGCGGACACCUAGGCCUUGAAUCUGCUGCCCAGGAAAGCCAUGUGGAGGAGGCCGAGGAGCAGCAUGGAUGCCCAGGGUGAAGUUAGCCAUUGCGCCGCUUCCUGCAGGUGGAGGUGGUAUUGGUCGCGAAGGACCGUUAGCCACCGGUGGUGGAGGCGGGGGCUGUGUGCCUGUCAUAGGCGGAGGUACUUGUGGUGGCGGUGGUGGCGGCGGUGGUGCUUGAGGUGGUGGGGGUAAUGGUCUCGGAGGAACACCAGGAGCUGAAGUGCCAUUGGCCACCGGUGGAGGUGCUGCCUGAGGUUUAUUACCUUCUGGUGGCUUGACCUUGAAAUACAGCUGCAGCUGUAGAUGACACCAAGAGACAUGUAAUUUCAGAUACUCGGUUAAAUGUAAGUAAUUGCAGUAAGGAAAUAAAAAUCAGACAGUAAGAAGAUUCAGGGCCAACAAACCGUGAACAUUUUUAGAUCUGGAUCCCAAUGUGAAAAGAACUUUGGUGUGGAUUUAUCAAUCUCAGUGCUAGGAACCUAGAAAGGAAUAAAGUAAGAUAAUAAUACAGAGACAACAAUUAUUUCUGGUGGUGUACGUUAUAGGAAAAAACCUUGAAGGCAAUGAUUUCAUAUGGUUCAGCUGCAAAUAGAAGAUACUGGUAUCUCUUGUCACAGGCUUGGACCCUCUGCCACAAACAAAAACAAUGAACUUAAAUCAUGUUUCUCCAAAGAAAAUUGAAUAGGUUAAGAAAAUUGAUGCAGCUGCAUAUAUAGAAGGUAAGCCAGCUCAGCACAUCACAUCUUUGUUCAAUUGAAUCAAAUUAACCAAAUAGAGCUACCAUAAUACAGCUAGAAUUUACCUGCUCAAAGGAUGACAUGAAUCGGUGCCUUGGCUUAGCACUAUCUUCAAUUUCCGGAUAUUCAAUCUGAAACGGCAUUCAACUGAUUUAAGUAUGUCCACUGAUGUAUAGUAAUGAAAGCUAAAACAAUAAAGACAAUUCUUUUUUCUAAGUAACUUGCCUACUGACACGAUAUUACAUGCAUCAGCACUUUUAUCUAGUGUAAGAACAGCAUAUUCAUCGCUAUAUCUAAAAAUUAAUGGCUUGCCACUCAUAAUAAAUAUGAUAUAUCAGAAGUCAAUCCUUGAGAAACAUAAUCUAUAAAAAAAUAAUUGAAGAAUAAAAAAAUUAAAUACUGUGUGGCACUAUGAUUAGAGAAAAACCCCUAGGUUAAGAGCAUUCCUUGCUCAGGAAGAGUACUCACAUCCCUAUGAUACAAAAUGAGGCGAUUAUAGAUCGCCUAAACUGUUUCCAGAGAAAGAAACCUCAAUCAAGGUGGACUCAGGAAUGGAGACAUACUAUGCGGUGAAGAACCAGUCUGAGGUCCAACAAGAGUGCAAUAUCUAAUUAUCCUCAUGUUUGUUCCCGUGCUCUUCUCCUGAAUAAGAUAAUAUCUUCUAUUAAUAUGAACAUAUAGGUUUUUUAUAUUUCCCAUCCAGUGCAAAAUGCACCAACCGAGGCAUCCAAGAAAGAAAUGGAUCGCAUUAACAUGAUAUGUACUUGGCCCAAAAUUUUGGACUGUCAACCUUCUUGUAAUCAACAGUUUAGUAACAGAGUAUGACUUCGUAAGAAGUCAUUACAUGAUUUUAAAGCUUUCCAUACAAAAGGUUACUGUCUAAUAAUAUUAGAAUCCAGCAAAAUAGGGAAAAACCAUGGGUAUCUUAACACAACUUUGCAAUGAUAAAGUAAAAGAUCUAAUAGUCUAAUAUGUGAUGCAAUCCAUACUUGAUACAAAAAACUCAAUAAUCAGAGUUGCUGACUAAAACUCUUCAAAUCCAAAGCCCCUUCCAGAGAGAACUAAAAACUUAACCGGCUACUAACUCAUGUAGCUUAAAUGUUCCUUGGAGGCAUUAAUCUUGCACAAACUUCUUGUGGAACUGAUAUAAAAGAAGUGGAGGAAGUAGCUGAAGCAGCAAAAAGGAAGAUGAAGAGUUGAAACAAGUAAAAGAGGAGAAGAAAAGCCAUACACACAUCUGUAAAAGAUGCACAAGCCCUCAAAACCAAACAUGCAAUGAGAUUGCACUCUUCGGAGAUAGGGCUCAAAGUCUAUAAACUUAAGGUUUUGCUCUUUACUCUUUAAAUCCACCAAUAUUUUCAUAUGAAGAUUUGCAGACAACAAAAAUAUAUAAAGGGCAGCCUAGUGCGUGAGGCUCCUGCCUGUGUUUGGGAAGCAUCAGGUCUAUACAGCCUUACCGCACGUGCAGAGAGGCUACUUCAGUGUUUUGAACUUAUGAUCUCUAGGUCAUAGUGAAGCAACCUUACCAUUGCACCAAAGCUCACCCAUAUGACAACAGGAAUAUAUAAGAAAAAUGAAAAUGUUUUAGCCUUAAUAACUUCAUAAAGGCAAGAAACUUAUAUUUCCAGAGUACAUGUCAUGACAUUGACACACUGUACAAUAAAUCGUCCCAGCAACAUGACUCUUUUCCUAUGAGGAAUAUUACUAAACAUGUACAUCAAGGAUUAAACUAACGUUUGUGCCAACAAUGCUGUGCUGUGUCUUGCCACGCUUGUGUUAGCACUGAGCAAGCAUGUGUACCAUAGGGUAGAUACAUAGGGUAUUAACCCAUGCCAGUUCAGCACAGGCUCAUAUGGCUCCGUACUGCUGGUACUAAGCUCAUAAGGCAUGUCCCAUGCUAGUCAGUAUGCACAUUGGUACUAGCACUUGUAUAUUUAAUCUGAGAUGAGAAAAAACAUGCAGUUAAUGUGAGAGAUUGAAAUCAAUCACAUUGUCACAAAAUAUUGCAAACUAAACAUAUUCAAGACAAAGUAAUACUUACCAAAAGGACUAGAAACCAAAUACUUAGCAAAUAAUUCCACUAAAUAAGACUGCAAAAAUAAUAUAUGCAAACCUGGAACAGAAGAGAACGCUGCUUAGUCUCAGAAUCAAAUUGCUUCGUUACCCUAUAUCCAGGUCUGCCAAUCUUAACUGCAUCCAUAGAAAGACAGAUUAAGCACCAACAAGAAGCAAGGAAAUCCACACAUACACACAUACAAAAAGAGAAGCACGUGCACAUGCAAUGAAUAAGCUUGAUAUCAAGGUUUCAGUUACAGUGGGAUGGGAGCAUCCUAGGUUUUCUUUGGAACAAGAUGCCCGCGUACCAACACUCGGGACAGUAGAUGUCCCAUCCCAUCCCAGUCCAUUUUCCGAAUCAUCCCAUGCCGACACUGGGGAAGGUGCUCCAUCCUGAUUCUUGGGCAGCUGGGAUGCCCUGCCAUCCCACCAGAAUCGACAAGCUUGCUUGAUAUUACAAAUGCAUUGUGACAUAGCUAUGCCCAAGUGACAAAUGUAUAACAACCAAUCAAAGUCAAGAAUCCACUCGAUCCACUGCAUGUGGAUGCAAUUUCAAGUGCCUGAAUACAUUUUAUUCACAGACUAGACCUUGACAAGUGCGCUGCAUGUGAUUGAAAAUGAAUGGAUAUAAUCAGAUCAUCUCUUUACUAUCAAAAUGAAUAACUAUGACCAGACUAUCUAAUUAGAUUUUCUUUUAAAAUUUUUGGGAGUUCAAAUUUGUUAAGAGAGAAAGAGAAAGCCGUUUGAUGAUUAAAGGAGAGUGUCCAUUUGAGAUUUCUUCUGAGAGAGAGAGUGUGUAUGUUAUGCAUUGAGAGUCCAAUUACUUGCUUUCUGUCCCAACUGAUUAAAGAUAGUUUAUUUAUUGCAACUCUUAAAAAAGGGCACCUUUCUUGUGAUUUCUGAGUUCGAAAAUAAAAGCCUGUUUCUUUUAAGAGUCCAAUUGUAUUUUCCCAUUUUAAUGUUGAUGGUCUUUCCUUGCACAUGAUGUGCGAUCACACAUGAGCAGGCACUUAAAGUCUGACAAUCAAUCAUUCAUGCAUUCUCUUUAUAUAUAGUAAGAGACAAAUAACACAGAUAAAACUAAUUGAUUUAUUUUGUUAUCAGAUAACAAUAUGAUUCAUGAAUAUGUAAUGCAUAAUGUGUAAACCAUCAAGGGGGUGUAUUGACUUAAAUUUGGCCACACCAGGUCAUAACAUGAAGGUGUAGAAAUAUGCAUUGAAUUUGUCCACUUGGAUUACAAUACGCACAAGGUGCAGUAGAAGCAUACGACCCUGGCACCAUUUGCCUUAAAGGGCAUUUCCAGCUAUCUAACUUGUGUGUCAAAUGCUUUCAGAUACAUUUGAUGCAAUAGUGCAACGACCAAACACCCUUUAGAUCAUUGUGUUCAACAAAAGAAAUAAUUAAAGGUGCACUGAUCAUUUUACAACUUUUUAUUUGCUGUACAAAACAUAUCAUUUUUAGACAUAAUAGUGAAACAAGAUUAAAAAAAAAGUUAAAUACCUUAGCAUACAUGCAACUAAUCUAGAUUAACAUAAGAAUCAAUGACCAGUGUACACUCCUAGAUAUAUAAUAAUGAAUGCUCUUCAUAAAUAUUAUGAACCACCUUGAACACAAUUAGAUUACCCCCCACCCACUUUAUUUCUUUUGGAGGGAGAUUGCAAACCAGCUAACCUUGUGUAGAAGUGAAAGAUCAACACAAUUAAAGUAGUACAAUGAAUUAAAAUAUUUGCCAAAAGGCAUCUUAUAUGAAAGACAGAUCAUAUUAAACUGAUUUUGCAGAAAUUUUACUCAUUGGAUAGUUUCACAGGACUCGAAGUUUGUAGAUGGAUAUAAAACUAUAAAUCAAUGUAGAGAAUUAGGCUAUGGAUUAUAUUUUAAACACAUAAAGAAACUAUAUUAGGAAUGAAAACUAUUAGCAUAAAAUAAAAUCUGGAGCACAACUUCUCAGAAAAAUGACUUGAAAUCCAUAUCUGAUUAAUACAAUAAGAACGAAAUUGCUACACGCAUCAUGAAGAGUCUAUCUGAGUCCUACUUAAAGAAAAAGAAGAAAAACAAACUGAUGGAUUGCUAGAUAUUCCCACAGAUGGAUUUAAAUCAUCAAGUUGCAUCACACGAUUGGUAAGUACAGAUGGGCAACAUGAACUUCAUGCAGCUGGAAACUUUGAAAGGGAAUGGUGUAUCCUGUGCAAAACCAAUUCUCAUGAAAGCAUAUCAGCAUAUUAUUUUCCUGAUACAAAGCUAGAACAGUUGAGUUAUAUUCCAUCAUGUACAGAAAAACAAGAAAACCUAAGCAUGAAGGAAAUGCCAUAAAUGUUUUCUCUUCUUCUUUUUUUUCUUUUUUGUUUGUGGGGUGGAGGAGGUCAUUGAGCAAUUUGAUUUCUCCAACGCCUGAAUAAGUGUCAUAAAUUUGAGCCUAAUGAGGUGGAUAAAGUCUAUAAUGGAACAGAUGAAGGAAAUGGCUUUCAUAAUUUUCCUUUGUUUGUUUUGGUAUUGACAAAUCAAAAGCGAGGAAAGGGUCUUAAAUCUUUUAGUUGUUGAGAAAUAUAAGACGUUGAAUCUAAGAACAAUGGAAAAUUUACUUGAUUUCAUCAGAUGGUCAUUUUUUAGCUUAUGAUCAUAAACUAACAAAAAGAUCAUAAGCAUGACCUAAUCAACACUGUACCAUCUAUGCAAAGCUGACUUCAGAAACAAUGAGCCUAUAAAUACAAUCAAGGAACAAGUACUUGUUUCAUAGAAUAUUCUCACAACCAAGGGCUCAAAUACUGCUAUCAAACAGCGUACAUUUUUCCAUAAGAACAGUAUAGUAUUUGUACCAUAGUGGUACCGACAGCAAGCAUUGAAACUGACAGAUUCUAAAAAAUUGAGAAACCACUGAUACUGAGUGAUACACACUGACAUAGCCAGUAAAUACCAGCGGCACAGCUGUUUCGACAUCCCAAGACUUGUAUAGAUGCAUGUUUUGUGCUAGAAUGAUACGGUACCGAUCACACAGCAGUUUAUGAAAUCACACACACAACUUAAUACUAACCUCCUUAGCUCUUUACCUCUUUCUGCUCUAAUCUGCCCUCCUUACUAUUUCUUCCUCGAGUCUUCAUUGCCCAUAGCCAAAUUACAAUUGAUUCUUCACUACUUUGACCAUUAACAGCAAAUUCACUUCAAGGAUUCUCCUAAUGUAUCCAUUUCUUCUUUAAAACCUCAAUUAGCAACAGAAGAAAGCCAAUCAUUACACACUAGAAGGCCUAACAAAGAACUAACCAAUUAGAACAAUGGAAAAUUACAAUUGAUUCUUCACUGCUUUGCCCAUUAAUGGCAAAUUAACUUGAAGGAUUCUUCUAAUGUAUCCAUUUCUUCUUUAAAACCUCAAUUAGCAACAGAAAAAAACCAAUCAUUACACACUAGAAGGCCUAACAAUGAACUAACCAAUUAGAACAAGGGAAUAGUUUCAUCCUUGUCAGCUAGCUUAGCAUACUUCCACCUCAAAAUUCUCAUCCAUUAUUAUUGCUGAACAUCCAAAGUUCAAGCACUAAAAUCAGAGUGCAUGACAUAAAGUAAAACAAUCACAUACUUCAACAUUCUUUGUAUGGCAUGAAUGUAUUCUUUUAAUAAAAGACUUGAUAAAUUAACCUCAACCCACUACUCUUCAUUUAAAAGAAGCCAAUAUGCAUUUUAAAAAUCUAGAAGUUGAAUUUAACGAUUCAAGCCUUGUUCACACAACCUAGUGGAUAUUGAAAAAAUAGCUAAAAGAUUUAUAAGCUGUUAGAUGAUUGUUUAUGCAAGAAAUGAAUACAAGCAUAACCAUGCCAACAAGCUUGCCUCAAGAUAUCAUGUCACCCUCAUAUAUAAUUCAACUCAAGUGCAAAUCCUUAGGCAAGCCUUUUCAAAUCAUUCACUAUUCGUAACCAAUUCUAACCAACUCCUUGAGGACAGUUCUUCUUGCACUUAUUUCACAAACAUUCAAGUCCAUUCUUGUUGCUUCCUCUUGUAUCUAUUAAUCAUAGCACUGUCACUGCAAGCAGCUAUAACCAUAUUGCCCCACUGAUGGUGAAAGAACUACAGAACUUCUGAAAUGCGGAGUACCAAAACCAACUCAACACAAAAAUGAGAAACUUUACACCAAUCAUUUAGGUCGGCGGAACCGGUACCGAAAUCUGUAUCAAUUGCCCGAUGGUACAUUAUGGUAUUGUGCUGUGCCGACUCGUGGAGUACUGACAAAGAGGAGCCAAAGAGGGAAGAGGAGAGGGAGAAGGAAAGAGAGGAAGAAAGAACGGGAGGGGGUGGGUAGGAAAGGGAAGAAAGUAUGGCGGGAGAGGGAGAGAGGCUGACAGAGGAGGAGAGAGAGGCCGACAGAGGGAAAGAAGGCUUUUGAGCUCUCUCUCCUCAAGCCAUUGCGUAAUAAGGGCUCUUGCCCCUUUUUUCUUUGAUUUUCUUUUUUAAAAGUGAAGUUGGCAAUCGUUGCCUCCCUCCCUCCCUCUCCCUCCCUCUUUUCCUCUCUUUCCUUCUCCCCCUCCCCCUCUCUCACCGGUUUCUCAAACUGAGGGGCCAAACCAUCUUGGUCCGCCUCUAGUAUGGCCCAAUACGCUUCGAAUCAGACAGUUUGAAACGGUACCACCUUCUUGGCCAACCAUAGAGCUACCCGACAAGCCAACAGAUAUAAUUGAUUCAAUAUUAUAUCCGUAUUUACUAGUCUUACAUCAUGCUCUAGUUGUGGUCUCUAUGACUCAAGAACUAUGACAAAUUCAUCACUGCUAAUAUUACACCAUUAAGACUUAAAAAUGGAGCACACAAUUCCAAUGAAAACAAAUGACAAACUUCAACUUUCUUUCCAUGGCACCAUUGGCAAAAAAAUUGAUGAGAUUGAACAUUUUAUGAAAAACAGCAACCUAAUAGGCUAGGCAAAAUGAUUUACUAUUUAAGCAAUACAUAUUUAAAUGUUAAGUGGCUGUUUUAGUCGACUUAGAUUACAGAAGUCCACAAGAAAGUUUAGCACAAAAAGUUCGUAGAUGGUAUAGCAACUUAAUCACCCUAACGUUCAGUAUUUCUUAAAAAAAUUGGCAUGAUUAAAACAUAUUAAUCAGCAUCUCUUAUCUAGACAUAAUGCUUUGAUAGUGUUUUCACUUUAUCUAAGGGUUCUACAUUUCAUGUUACCACAUAACCUUGGAUAUGCUGCACACAAAGUGAGAGUGGCUCUUUGCACUAUAUGCACCUAAUUCUAGCCUUCACAUAUGUCCUAUCAACAAAAACUCUCUUAUACCACCAUUUGCCUGCCUAGGCCAUACAUAACCUUCCUUUGUGUAGCUUAUGAGCCAACCUCAACGCUGGUCAAACUUGAGCUUGGCCAAAAUUGCUGGAAGGCAAAACAAGCUUGGGCAAGGCACAAGUCUGCCCAAAACAGACAAGUGCGAGCAUAAGCUUAGAGAUAAAAGGAGUGCUGGGUACAAUUAGUGAAUUGUCCGAUCUGGCAACAGGACAACAACAAUAGUCAAUAUGAUGACUAGAUUUGGUGCAAGGAAGAAACCAUGCUCAGGGUUGUGGAAAACAAUGGCUACGGUAAUAUCCAAUGUCAAUGAGGGGAGUGAAGGAGAAAUGGAGAGAAAAGGAGAAGAGAUGGAUGGGACAAGGAUUAGGUUUAGAAAAUUUAUAUAACUAUUGAAGAUAGAUUUUUAGAUAGAUGACAUAUAAUCAAAAUUGUUCCUGAUGCAAAUGACUACAGGGCCAAUACAAGGUCAGCCCACGCCAAGCACAAAUUCAAUCCGAGCCGAGAUUUUUUGCAUGCACCAGCCCUACAAGCCUUGAGAUCAUGGGUUCAUUAAUAGCCCUACCGCUCUAUGUCUCGUUUGUUUUCUUUUUCUUUUUAUUUUUUCCCAUGUUUAUAUUUAUAAUUGAGCAACAUUUUAUUCUCAUUCCAUAUUGCAAUAAUAAGCAAUAAUAAUUUUUGUAUUCCUAUUCCUAAUUAUAUAUAUGUAUGUAUGUAUGUACUUAUGUAUGUAUAUAAAAUCUCUGGAAAAGUCCUUUCAACCUUUUGACUCCUUUAGUCAAUGAUCAUGUUACACCUUCUAACUAAUUUAAUAAUAGCAUCUGUUAUNNNNNNNNNNNNNNNNNNNNACACCGUCGUGUCAAUCGUUCUCGGUUUGGACCACCAGCAACAGCAUCUAAUUGCAUUUCAUAUUUUUAUCUAUAAUUCUUAUUUUGCAACAAUCUACUUAUUUUCAUAAAUAAAUGUCAUGUAUCUACUAAAAGAAAUUUUAAUAGUCUUUGUUUAAUAACUAAAAUGUUCAAUACUUCCACAUUAAAGAGCAAUAUGCAACCAGUUUACCAUCUCAACUAGUAUGCUUAAAUCAGUAAGCUUUAACAAUCCAAUAAUCAAAAACACCUAGAUACCAUAAUAUAUUAGUAGUUAUGCUACUAAAUAGUCUGAGAGACAAAAAGAAAAUGCGAAGCACCUUCCUAGGGAUCUUACUGGCUCACUUAUAAUGUUGAACUACCUUCAUGAGUUGUGUGCAUAAGGAUCAAUGCAAAUUACAAGCUAACGUUAAGUUUAACAAGAUAAGCAAAUAUCAUUCUUUCAUUUUUAAAAUCCAGAAUGCUGCAGAUUUCUUUCCAAUGAUGAAGAAAUGGAUCAACACAAAAAGAGCGCAAGCUAAUAUCAUGAGAGACCUAGUAGAUAAUAACUCAAUAGUCUUGGGUGCAACAUUUAACAUAAUGGCGGCAUGGCUAGGUCGUCCUACCAUUCUGAGUGUCAGGGCGGUGCCACUGAGUGUCAGGUAAGGGCAAGUCAGGAAAUGGACUGGAUCGGGAAGGGACAAGUCAAGUGUAGGCAUGGGAAAUAUCUUGUUCCAAAAAAAACUAGAAUUGCCUAGUUCCAUGGUUUUAAACCUUGCUUGGAUGUCUAUACUAGGUGCAAGAGCAAAGAAAUGAAACCGCUAAAUUUUCAACGAUAACAUGGUGAGAUUUAAUGAGAAAAUGUAACAUUUUUACCAAAUAACUGAUAAAGGAAUUAAAUAUAUGAAAAUUGAGCCGAAAAGAUUAUAAGUUCGGAUGACUUAUUAUAUUAAAGAUGCUAGAAAAAUUCUUGAAGUCAAAAAUGUUAAAAGCAUGCACAAAAUGAAACUUGGUGAUCAAAUGAUAAGUUACAAGAGGUAAUCAAGGUAAUUGUUUUCUUCAAACAAUAUCAAAAAAAAAAGAAAAUAUCAAUUUUGUAGACAAAAUAAGAUCAGGAAAGAUUCAAAGGACUAGUAAGUAAAGCUAACUAUAUAGCAAUGUGAUAAUUUAGCUUGAAACAUAUAAUUCAAAGGAAGGUGAGAAUGAAAUUGAUACAAUUAGCCAAAAUGAAAAGAUGAAUCAAGAAAUACUAGUCGAUUUAGAUGCAUUAAAAGUUAAGACAUUCGAAGUCAGAUGAUUAGGUCAAACAAAGAUGGAAAGGUUAUGACUAGACAUUGUUAAACAAGGAUUCUAUCAGAGAAAAUCGUACAAAAGAUAUAAUACGCAAUUUGUCAAGUUUGUCUUGCUCAAUACUAAAAGAAUAGCUUUUAAAAGGAUGCAACUGGGAAAUGUGCUUAGGCUAGAUGAAAAUCAUUUGAUGUUUGGAUACAUCAAGGGAGAUGUAUCCAAACAUUAAAAAAAAAAAAUCAGAUAUACAGAUUUUUGGCCAACUAGUUCACAAAAUACAGAUUUAAACAUUUAAAGAGAAAGAAAAAAAUCAGAUGAUUGCAGAAGUGUCAUAGUACCCAUUCAUAAGAAAGAUGUAUGGAAGUGCCCAAACUAUUGUGGUUAAACUAUUGUAAACGGUGAUAAAACAAAAAAUUACUAAAAGUUUGACAAUCUUAGAUAACCAAUUUGGUAUCAUUACAGGAAGGUCUAUAUGCGAGGCUAUCUUCUUGUUUGCAAUUAAUAAAAAGACAUAUAGAAUAAAUAAACAUUCUAUAUUGUCUUGAUCAACUUGGGAGAAAACUUAUCAUUAAGUACCAAAAGUAAUUUGGUGGGAUUUAAGAAGGAAAGGUAUACAUAGGAGAUGUAUUAGAAUUACAAGGACAUGCAUGAUUGAAUAAUGAGAAGCAUUAAAAGCUAGUAUGGAAAGAGUCAGUAACAAUGAGCAUACACCAAGGGUUAGCACUAGCAUAUCUUUUUAUACUCAUAAGAUGUAAACAUACUUUUAAUAUUUAAAAGAAUAGUUCAUGGUUUACCCAAUCUAUAGAUGAUAUAGCAUUGAUUGAACAGAAGGCAAUAAGAUGAUAAGGACUUAAAUCAUCAAUAGAAUAAAAAUAGAGCAAUUUUUUUAAGCAAUCUCGAGUAUUUUACAGUGUUACAACCGUCGGAGAUGCAUUUGACCAAAUCACAAGUACUUCCUUUCUCUCAUGGUGUCUCCUAUCAAAUCAGUUCAUACAUCACCAAACUCUAAUUAUCAAACUCUCUCAGAAUUAAAACCUUCUUCAACAAUUAAGGGUCUGUUUGGAUUUUUCUACGAGAUUUGUCUGAAAAUCCUGUUGGAUUCAUGGAUGGGGCCAGCACAACCAGCAAGAUCACAGGCCACAUGCUAGAUUAGGCUUGUAUUUAUAAAAUAUCCAGAAAUAGCUUUGAAGUAGGCCGACCUGAAUGCCAUAUGGAGAAAAAAGAGACCUACUAAGAUUUUUUUUUCCCUUAUAGGAUUCGGACCGGCCUACUUCAAAGCUAUUUUUGGAUAUUAUGCCCAUCCCAACCUACAGCCUGCUAUCUUGCUAGUUGUACUAGCCCAAUCCACAAAUCCUACAGCCCUAUUCUGUAGAGAAAUCGAAACAAGCUUUAAAAGAGGAAAAAAUCAAAUAUUUCAAAAUACAAAUCUCACUUAAGGCAGUAUUCAAUUAUCAAACCAUGGAUUUGACCCUCAUUACCCACCAACAUAAACUCGGAAGAUCAGACACUGUAGCAUUCAUGUGCUUAAAAAUAAGUGACCAAAUUCAGUAGGAAUAAACUAUCUUAUGUUUGGGAGAAAAUAGGAACGCAUUAAAAAGAUUCAUGCCGAUCUAUUUUCGACCUCACAAGUGAAGAAACAACCAAAAAAAGCAAAUCUUUAAGUGCUUUUUACUCAUUCUUCCACUCCAGCAGANNNNNNNNNNNNNNNNNNNNNNNNNNNNNNNNNNNNNNNNNNNNNNNNNNNNNNNNNNNNNNNNNNNNNNNNNNNNNNNNNNNNNNNNNNNNNNNNNNNNNNAACAUACCAGUCUUGCGGACGGAGACCUUUCGCUUGUGGGGCUGGGGCUGGGCGGGGGCGUCCUUGGCCUCGCGGGCAGCUCUCUUGGCGAGGUUGGUCUGGUGGCGCUUCCCCUGGGUAUGGGCCAGGUAGUUCCCCUCGUUGUUGUGGAGCGUGAGGCAGAGCUUGCACUCAUAGCUGCCAAAAGAUUCACAGCAUCAAACGAUGAGGAGAUCUGAUCCACUAGGGCAAGGGCAAAGUUCUAGGGUUAUGGUGAGGGUUAGGAUUAGGGUGAGGGUUUGGGAGGAGGAGGUACCUGCCGAGGUGGUUCCGCAUGAAAUAGGGGUCCUUGGCAAGGUCGAUGGUCUCUAGGGCGAGCCGCCGGAGACGCUCCCGGCGGUCGAUCGCCUCGUUCUGGGCGGAGGCGGCACCGCCGCUCCCCGGCUUCGAUCCCCAGUCCCGAUCCAUUCUUUCCUUUCACUCACCGCUUCCUCUCCCUCGCGCUCGUGCAAGCGCACACUGGGUAUAUGUCUAACAAAAUCCUGAUGCUAGGGUGAAUCAUGGCCAUUCAUCCAUUGGGGUGUCGUCACGUGUCGCACGUGCCAAAUACUUUUCUUUUUAAGAUACUAAUCUAACGUCCCAUCCCUCCCCAGCAUGGCCGUUCGCAAUGUUUUCAGAGCCUCAGUUCCCUGAUUUGGCUUUUGAAUCCAUGCUUACAACCGCCCUAAAUGCUAACUGAAUGUCUUCAGACUUCAAUAGCCAUGAAGGCCUAGGAUUAGGAAGAGCCUGCCCAGGUUAAGAGUGUGGAUGCUGCUUAACAGAGCAAUCUGAAUAGGGGUAUUAUGGGAAUUAAAAAGUUAGGAAGUUCCCAAUUUUAUAGUGUUUGGAUGGAUUAGGGGACUGAUCCACCUGGAUCAACAAAAGAAUACCUUAACUCUACUAACAUGUAAAAUGAAAGCACUCUUGAUUCAUUCUUGGUUUUGCAAAUCUUGGCACUAGUUUCCUAAGUAAGAAAAUAACAUUUAUAGUCAACUUUGUACCAUAAUUUUAAAUAGGGUUUCUAAUAUUACUUCCUUUUUUUUGUAAAUCUUUAUCCAUCACCCAUGCCAUCAUGCCUCUGGUUUUUAGUGUGGUCUAAAAUCUGGUUGCUGCUUUUGCACCCAACUCAUAAUGAUUCAAUCCCAUCGAUAAGAUACCAUUAUCUUAUCUAAUUUUAAUUCAAUGGUAGUUACACCAUCCAUUGUUCUUUUGUUUAAAUGUCAUAAUUGGAUGCCUUUUGUUAUACAAUAUCUCAUCUUAUUUUUUAAGAUGCUUCCUAUAUGAUUCCAUAUACUCAAUAUUAUGAGAGCCCUAAUUCCCUACUUUGGUUUUUGCAUUCCAUGCCUCCGACUAUGCCCAAUUUUAGUAACAAAAUUACUAAAGUGCAUAAAUUUAUCAUGUGGUAGUAAGAAAAGAAGGUCAAUGUUCCUAAAUAUCCUUCGAUUAGGAUCAUAGGUGUUAUGGUUCAAAUCUGGCCCGAGGGUGACCACGCCAGAGGAGUCGAAGGAGCCGCCGAGGCAUCAGGGAAGAGGGCAAGAUCCGCAACCCACGCACCAGAGUACCUGCACAAAGCCUCGCCUGUGUUUUCGGUGAGGGCCAUCCGACGAUCAAGUUAGGGAGGUAUAUAUUUGGUUUUUCUCAAGAGACAGAGAGAGGUCUCCCCUCUGGGGGUUACCUGACGGGGCUAUUUAUAGUCCCGGUGGAGAGGCCCAGGUGGCGGAGGCAUGGCCCGCCUUUAUCAUGAGGGGGGAUGGCUCUUAGCCGAAUGGCGCGCAGCUAGAGCUAGGCGGUGGCCCAAAAUGUUGUUGGCUCUCUUUUUGUAGACCUGAGAAUGACUUAAAAAGGGUGUCGUUGUCAAAAUCUUAACCAACAAACAAAUAUUUUUAUAUUACUCUUACCAUCCUCUAUUCGAUGAAUAGUGAUUAUAGGAGGUCAAUCCACGGGGAGGCGAUUGAAGCACACAAAUAGAAAACAGAAACCCCAUUAAGAUUCAUGGCAAUAUUUAUAUAUAUAUAUUAAAACAAUUUCUUGAGGAUGUUCGAUUAAUCUCUAACCAAUCAGAGCUAGUUUUUCAUUCAAAAAUAAACAAAGAAAAGAAAGAAAACUUUUGCAAAUAAAAUAAAAAUUUCUGAAUGCAUAAAAUAAACUGCAAAAAUUAAAUUGAACCUAAAACACGGAUUGCAUAAAAGAAAAUUAAUAGAUUGCAUUAAAAAAAAUAGAUUACAAAGGUAAAAAUAGGAGAUCGGAAGCCUAAUGCUUCUUUUCUUCUUAAAAAAAAUAAAAAAAAGAAAAAAAAACAAAUUGCAUUGUUUCUCACGGUGGAACUCUCUCUCUCUCUCUCUUGCUUUUCUUUUGUUUCCUCCACGAACAGAGCAUGCUUUGUUCGUGGCUUUCCUUCCCCCUUCUGGCCCAGUCGAGAACCCACCCCUCCNNNNNNNNNNNNNNNNNNNNNNNNNNNNNNNNNNNNNNNNNNNNNNNNNNNNNNNNNNNNNNNNNNNNNNNNNNCGAAGCUAGCGAUUGAUCCUGAUGUGGAAGGGCAUUGAUCGGGACGCUGAAACCUCGCGCAAGAUGGAAACGGACGAGCGUGUGAGGCUGGGAUUCGGAUGAUUUCGAAUCUGGAAGAGGAGGAUGUGGCUAGGAUGGAUCGUGGAUGGCUGGAGGAGGCUGAGACGCUGAAACGCGGCUGGAAUUGCUGGAUGCUGAGAGGAGCAGAUCCGGAAUGGAGCUGUAGACGCGUUGUGAACGUAGACGGAAGAAGAGGCCGCUAAUCCGCCUUUGUGAACGCGCUGGGAUGUUGACGCGAAAUGAUUGGACCAUGGAGAAGGUGGUCGUCCUGUCUCUGGUCCGCGGGAUUGCUCAGUCCAUGGCAUGCAUCGCAGGAUCUAGGAUAUGAAAAUGGAAGGAGCUGCAGACGGACGUCAAUUCGGAAGGAGCUGGGAUGAGGGCGUGGAUCUGGAUGAAGGGGACUCGGAACAAAAUUUUUGGGAUUCGAAAGCUAGACGUGGCUGGGCGGAAGAAGAGGGUGGACGCGAUGCAGGGAGAUCGCGAUCAAUGGGGCACGGAUGCUGGGAUGGAUCGCGGAAGGAAGAAGAGGAGUUUUGGAAUGGAUGCGGGAUCCGUGGGAUGCUGUGACUUGAUGCUUGGGCUCACACGUGAUCUCACGGGAUGAGAUAUGCAGAGACUGAUUUGGAAGGAUGCGGACGGUUGGUGGGACUUCACUGUUAGCUCCCCUACUCUAUGUCUUCAAACCGGGCUAGGUUCUGUGAUCCUUGGAUGGUUGGUGGGAAUCCAUCAGAUAUGACAGAUUCCUUCUCAGAUUUGGCAGCUCUUCGGGAGGCGAAUCAGAAAGCAGGGGAUACGGGAGACGGGCUGAUAUGCGUGGGCUGGAUGGGAAGUCGUUCGGGGGCAAAUGUGCUUGACCGGGUCAUGGUAGGAUUGGGCCUGCGCCAUCUGUACCAAAUGCGUAUUUAAACUUUAAUUUAUAAUAACCUGUGCCAAACGAAAAUAUAAUAUUAAACCAGUGAAUUUAUCAUUAUAUGUUAACAAUAAUAUUAAUUUAAGCAGUGUUUAGAUCGCACUUUUCUACUUUCAUCAAUGGCGUGCGGUACCCUCCGUUCCUAAGAAUGGUAAGGUGUUGACAGUCGUAGCAGAGCAUGGCCGAAGUAGUCACAUAGCCGUCCUUUGACUGUCGUGGACCAACUAAUGAAGCGUGGCGUAGUGGCAUUGCAAUGUACGGCCAUGUAGGAGGGCGUAGGUGCGCACAUGGUUGCAGCCGUUGGUGAAGCCGUGCACAUCGAGAGGUCGCAUCAUGCAUUCGAUGAGGUCGGCUUGAUGGGUGGUGGGGUAAGCCCAACACCUCGGAUUCCAAGGUGCGCCUAGCGGAGGGCCCCAGGCUCAAGGGUCGGGCGAGUCGGCGAAUAUAGGAGGUCGGGGGAGCUUUCGGCAGAGUUCAAGGUCGGGCUGAUUUCGGGCCGGACCGAGGACACGCCUAGUCGACGUCGGUGCUUAUUGAGCCGAAAUUGGGCGGUCCUUUUGUUGUGAGCUGGACGAUCCAUUUUGCCCCCCACUUUUGAGGUCGAGCUGCUCUGCCGCUCGAGCGAAGGAAGUAGCUGGACAGUUGGUCAUCCCAUACUUCGGUCAGGUGCUCAUAAAAGAACGCGCAUCGAGUUGGACAUACUUGGCGCACUUUAUAGCAGGGGGCUUUAAGUCAGACUUUCAAAGUCGAGUGUAGGUGGCUUAAGCUGCCAUGUCAUUCUAAGUAGGAUUUUUCAUGGAAGCUUCUCAGUGUUACAGGUCGCUAGACGGAAUGUCGGGGCGAUUGUUAAUGCCUCAUCCCCUAAAGUGCCCCGCCUGAUGGAAUGCGAGAGGCUGGCCAUUAAUGCUCCAUUCUUCGAAAUAUCUGGCCCAAUGGAAUGCAAGAGGCCAUAUACUGCGAUCCGAAAAGAUUUGCAGAGGCUUUCUCGAGGCUUGCCAUGUGGCGGAAUCCAGCUCGUCUAAUCGCUUGGGCUAUCCGAUCAGAGCCGUUGCAGCGGCCUAUAUAAGACCUGGAGAAGGCCCUAGAAUCAUUAUUCGAUCCUUUCCACCUCUAUCUCCUUUUCUCCUAGCCGCCAUUGUUGUAGUGUUCAGGUCUCUCCUUGGGCGUUCUGGAAGCUUCUUCGUCGACCUUCAGAUCAAAUGCUGUAUUCUGCCCCGACGGUCAUUCUUCUUCUUCUCCCCGAUUAUCUUCUUCGGCGAGCUUCCGGGCAGGCAUUUCAUUCCCCUUUCGGUCGCUUCGAGAGUCUCUUGUCCUCUUCCAUCUUUAUAAUUUUGUGAUGAAAGCAAUGGGUUCACCGACGAGGGCACUAAUGUUCGUGCAAGUCCGCCUCGAGCCUAGGCCUCUACUGAUGUGGAGGAGACUGGGCCCGAGGCGGGCCCGGGUCCGUGUGGGAUCGGCUCGCUAAUGUGCAACGAGGAUCUGGGCUCGGUUUGAGCCUGAUUCUUCCUAUCUCUGGAAUUCGUUCUCGAGAUUUCGGACCUCGGAGGGCGAGUCACCAACCCGCCCGGGGCUGGAUCGGAGUGUACAUAGAGACACUCCGAGCAGGGUUGAGGUUUCCUCUGCAAGGGUUCGUGGGAGAGCUCUUAACAGCUUACCGUCUGAUGCCUGCACAGCUCGCCCCGAACUCGUGGAGAAUGAUAAUGGGCUUCCUCGCUCUUUGCCUAGCACACGGCCUGUCCCCCUUAGUAAACAUCUUUUGGAGUUGCUUUAUAUUAAAAGGCAACCCCGCAGACAAAGAGUGGUGGUAUUUUUUCCCCCAAGGAGGCCACAGGCUUUUCACGGAUAUUCCUGCUUCCAUCCAUGGGUUGAAGGAUAAGUUUUUCUUUAUUUCCUCCAAGCGGUCAUGGGGGUUUGAUCCAGCCUGGAGCUUUCCGCUGGCUUCAGCGAAUAACAGGCUCCCAGAACUAUCACAGUCCGAGCAGGGGGUUUUAGACAGUUUGCUUGGACUGGAAGGAACUUCACAGCUCUCCGACCUGCUCAGUGAGGAAGCUUUAGUGAAUCUUGGCCUGAGCCCAGCUUGUCCCAAGGGUAAGAGUAGCCUAGUUGCUCAAUUUUUCUUCCCAAGCUGGGCCCUAAUAAAAUCUUAUGUCACCAGACAUCGCAGGAAUGAUCUUCAGCGUUAAGACAUUGAUGGCCACGUACAGGAAGAAGAGGGCCGCCUUGGAAGGGGUUCGACCCGAAAGGAGGCCAAAGAAGGCCAGAGCCGCCUCUGUCCCCGACGUCGAGUGGGGGGAGCUCCCCCUGCUUGAGGUCGCCGUCCGUACUCAGGCCGGAUCCAGUCGGGUCCUUGCGAUGGAGGCUGAGGUGCCCCAAUUGGCGGUAGAAAGGGGCUCUUUUGACCAAGUGGUGGUCGCACCCAUUGGCCGAGCCGAGGUGGUUGGAGAAGUUGCCCGGUUACUGGAAUCGGGUCUCGAGCCGGGAAGUGGGCAUGAGCUUCCGAUUUUCCCUGAGGGCCUGACUCAAGCUGAGGCCAUGGCCAUUCUCGGGGUUUCGACCUCGGCUGAGACUUCAGCUCCCGCCGAGGCCUUGGCCAUAGCUUUGGUUGAGCCCGUCCCCUCCAGAUCCAGAGGGGAGCAAGUGCGACAUCAGCAUCGUGCAUCCGAGGGCAGCACGACCCUUGAGUCCAACGAUGUUACUCGCGAGCUUGUGCAUAGUAUUAUGCUCCUACGCAACCGAGCUUUGAUGGAGAAGAAUUUUGACGACUUUGUUCGUCAUGCCUAUUCAGCGAGUGUGAGGACAAGUGAUGCAGUUCUCUCGUUCCUUUCUCAUUUUCCUUGCAAAUGCCUGACCUUUGUUGAUAUUUUUUUUGUACUAGUCCCUUCAUGCGGUCGACAUGCUGAUGUCUGGCAUGCUCACCGACCGGAAGGAGCUGAAGGAUCUCAGGCCAAGGGUGGAGCAAGCCGAGCUCCAGGAGCAGGAGGCCAAGGCUCGGACAGUGACUACUUUGCAACGAUAGUGAGAAGCUGAAGAGCAAGCGGCAGUCGUCGAGCAGUAGCGGCGCAGGGCUAAGGAGCGGGCGGCGGCCGUCGAGCAGCAGCGGCACAAGGUCGAGGAAAAAGCCACAAUUGCCGCGCAGCGGUUUCGAAGGGCCAGAAAGAAGGUACGGGUUGCCGAAGCCCUAACGAGGGACAAACUCGCCCAUAUUCAAGAUAUGGAAGCCGAGCAUUCCCAGGCUUGCCAUCAGCCAUAGGCUGCAUCGCCGAUCUUGAAGCCGCCCUAAUUAAAUUGCGGGGUGAAGCCGAAGAAUGGGAGUUGAAGCUUGGGCCAGCUCAAAAAUCUAGCAGAGGAGUCUGCUCGUGAGGCUGUCAGGAGAUUUUGCCAGUCGGAGGAGUACCUUGCCGAACUGGCGGAGGGGGCUACUGCCACUAUGGUUCAGGGCUUUAAUAAUUGUCGUAGUCAAGUCCAGUGGUUCUGCCCCUGGGUCGAUCUUAGCGGCCUUGAGCCGAAUCUGGACGAGGCUGUUGAAGUAGCCUGGGGCGCUGCAGAGGAUGACGACGAGGUUGGAACAGAGGUCAUCCCCGAAGUCGCUGUUGGGAUGGAAUCGGAAGCUGAGGUGCCCUAAUUGGCGGUAGAAAGGGGCUCUUCUGACCAAGUGGUGGUCGCGUCCAUUGGCCGAGCCGAGAUGGUUGGAGAAGUUGCCCAAUUACUAGAAUCGGGUCCCAAGCCGGGGAGUGGGCCUAAGCUUCUGAUUUUCCUAUGGGCCCAACUCCAACUGAGGCCAUGGCCAUUCCCGGGGUUCUGACCUCGGCUGAGACUUCAGCUCCCGCCGAGGCCCUGGCCAUGGCCAAUAUAUUUACUUCUGUUCAUUAUCUAUUGCAACUUAUACACACUUAUCAAGUUUUAUUCCGUUGUAUUUUAUAUAAAAUUUUAAAAAAACCCAAUUCAGACUCUCUUGGGCUGUAUAGCUAGGCAACACAAAAUCAAUUAGCCUUAUCCAUCUUUUUUCUUUUUUGUUUUCUUUUUUUUCUUCCUUAUAGAACUGAUGGCUAGUUCAAACCUCUUUGAUCAUGUCGAGGCCCUCUCUGAGAGUGUCUCUUGUGUGCACUAAGCCAACUCGACAUCAUAUAAAUAUGACAUCUAGCCGGUGUUUCUAUCACACUAUAUAUAUUUUUAAUCUUAGUUAUAUAUUAACCCUUGGGCUACCUUCCAAUAAUCAAGACUCAAUUUGAGAAAGGUACUCAUUCUUCAAAUAAUCGGGAUGUCCUACAUGUAAUAUAGUUUACAAGCCUAGAUGAUGUUAUUAACCAUUAUCUUAGAAAAAUAAAAUAAAUGGUAUCGAGUCAAACUCAAGUAUUUCUAUUUGGGUCAUGAAUAAUUCCUCUUUAAUUGAAGUUUGAACACUUCUCAUGAACAAUAAAAAAAAGAAGAUUGAAUUAUUUCUUUCUAGCUUGUGGUUGUUAGAAGUAUGCCCUAGAAACCAAUUGGCAGACGCAUUGUAAUUAUACUAGGAUAUAAAUUUGUACGUAACCUUUUUAUUAAUUAAUAAAAUUGGGCUUUUUAUUCAUUCAUGUUAUUAUAUAUCCAUAAAUCAUCCUAUGAAUUAAUAAGAUAAUAACACAUAUUCUCAAAAGUUGAGAAUUUAAGACAUAUGUCAUUAGAUAGUUAAUUCCUGAUUUGCUUCUGAUCAAUGGAUCAUCACGAAGGACGGUGACCGAUUCGAUGAGAUUAGUACAUAGAUCACUUUUCUUGAUGGACGAGUCUUAAAUCCACAGUGUGGGGAUACUUGAGUGAUUGUGCAAGUGCUUGUUAGAGAACAAGGGUGCUGAGCGUGACCAAAGCAAGAAGUCACUUGAAUGUCUAUCCACUCGUCAGUGACUUACUUGAUGAUGCAGUUGUAUGACUAGUACUUAGACCUGCGAUGCCUCAGCUAAUCAUGGUGAGAUUGCUGUAGUUUGACGAGCAUAUAAAUAUGGGCCCUAAGGGUUCUUGUGGUGCAGAUUGGCUACAGUAGUUUUGCUGUCGGAUUAAGGUUGCAUCUAGAUGGGAUAUAUCGACCUUGAUAGAUUAGAAGUGAUCCUAUGUGAUUUAUGAGACUAAGUUUGAAAGACCUUGGUCAGGGCAGUUUUGGAAAAAGAGUUUUCUAAUCUCGAACUUGAGUUAAAUAAAUUUGACACAAGACAGACGAUGGAGUUUGACGAGUUAUCCAUAACCUCCAUCAUUUUGGAAUCCAUGAUAGAGGUGUUGUAUCAUACGUUAACUGCAUUUAGAGGUUUAUCCAUUUUCUUCUGCUGGGUUGCCACGAUAUGCUACUAGGUGUCACUAGUGGAUUGUGAGACUCAAAGGCAUUCACUUGGUGAUCAGUAAACCCUAAGAGAAGAGUUGAAAUUGUUUCAACCCAUUGAAAGAAGUUUCAAUGAUAUUAUGAUAGAGAUCAUAAUAUAUCUCACUACCAAAUAGAAUAGAACCUACGGGGUCACACACAUUAGAGAUUUUGAUCGUUUCGAUGGUUGGAUUGCAAUUUAGAAUCGCAAUUGAUCUUGAUUGUCAAUUUGAUUGACAAUUAGUUUAAUCCACUAAGAGUUAGUGAGUUAAAGAAGAAGGAAUUGCAAUUAGAUUGCAAUUUAAUUGAUUCAAUUGGAUCUAAUUAAAUUAGGCUGAACCUUAUUGAAUAAGGAUGGGAAGGUCUAAUUAAUUAGAACUCCUUAUUAGAUAAGGAACUUAAUUCAUGAAGUCCAAUUUGGAUCCUAAUUGGAUUAGGAUUCACAUGAAUCAAUUUGGAGGACACAUUGGAUCCUAAUUGGAUUAGGAUUCAAUUGAUCAAGUAGGACCAUGCAAUUUCUAAUUGGAUUAGGAGAUCCAUGCAUGGAAGGAAGGGAAAGAUUCCUUCCUUUAUGCAUGUGAGGCAAAGAAGGAAAGAGGGAGGGGCAUCUGCCCUCCUCCUUCUCACACGCCCAAAGGAAGGAGGGGCGUCCGCCCCUCCUUUCCUUUCUGGUCCACACAGCAAGAGGAGGGGCGGAUGCCCCUCCUCCUCCAUCCGCCCCUCCUCCUCCCUCUUGUUCAUGCGGAUUGCCACAUGGCGGAAGCACAUCCCUUAGAUUCUCUCUAAUCUCUUUUAAGUAAGAGGUAUGGUAAAAUUUGGAGGGAUGAAUCAAGGAGUGAUUUUUCAUUGAGAUUAUUCCUGAUUUGUAUGGGGCAUGAGAUAUCUAUAAAAGAGGACCAGGCAUGAGGUAUAGAAGAGUAUUGGAGUCCCUAGAAUCAGCCGCCCAUCCCCUUCCUCCUCCUUCUUCCUGGCGUAAGUAAGAAAGAGAGCUGCGCCCUCUUCUUCUUCUUCCUCCUUCUUCUUCCUCUCAAAGCAGUCAAAGGGUUGAUUAAAGAGAGAGAAAAUCAACCAUCAAAGAUGAUAUCUGCAUGAGAGCUAUUACCCCAGUGAGAUCUUAGAACAAUCUGUACCUCGUAUGGAUACUUGUAGAGGCCGGACACUUGUGCGGCUUCAAGCAAACCAAAUCCAACGAUAAUCAGAUAGCGGUGAAGUUCUACCUGCUAAAAGGUAAAGAUUAGAUCUUUAUAAAUCCUUUACAAUUAAGAAUUAUAGUAGAUCUGAAAAUUAAUCUAGUCUUUAAUUUUAAUCUUGCCUUUAGAUUUCAUAAAUAUGAGUUAGAGAACUCAACAAAAUUUUUGAAAUCUACGUUUCUUAGGACGUUCAUGAGAUGAACGACCCCAUGCGUGUCUUUCCGCUGCAAUCGUCGCAACGCGUGCGGGGUAACCCGACAGUGGUAUCAGAGCCGCGUUUAAGAGAUUAUGAUUAAAAUUGAUAGGCUUGAUUAUGAUUAAAUUAGAUCUGAAUUUAAAGUAUAUUUGCUGAACUUUCUGCGUGCUGAAAUUUCAGAUUUCAGCAUGCAGAUUUUUAUUUUCUUUCUCAAUCUUCCAUGCUAUUUUUAAUUAACAAUGAGAUUACAAUAAUUGAAAACAUGUUUUGCAUGAUCACAAUUUCAGUUGAUAGCAUAUUUAGUUAAAAUUUUCAGAUCUGAAAUUGUAUGCAUAAGAUGCAUGUGAUAAGAUUCAAUCGAAGAUUUAUGAUCAUAAGAAGAUAAUUUUCUAUUUAUGACUAUGCUUAAAAAGAAAUUGAUAUAUGCAUGAGAUGCAUAAGAUAUGAUCAAAUCAUGGAUUCAUGUUCAUUAAAGGAUAAUUUUGUUUAGGCUAAUGCUUAAAAGAAAAUUGAUAUAUGCAUGAGAUGUAUAUAUAUGUUAAGCAAUCUUUACAUGAAAUGUAAAUAAAAAUUCAAAUAGGUUAGGUCAUUUACAUAAGAUGUAAACCUAAACUAAUAUGUCAUUUACAUAAGAUGUAAACACAUAACAUAUGAAAGGGUUUCAUAUUUACAUAGGGUGUAAACCUAAAUAAAUAUGUCAUUUACAUAGGAUGUAAACGCAUAACAUAUGAAAGAAGUUUCAUAUUUACAUAAGAUGUAAACCAUAAUCGAGACCUAAAACCUCCUCAAUCAAUCGAGAGUAAAUGAUACAUUGACCUAGUCAUAUUUGAUUAAUUGAUCUAAUUGGUGUCUAGAAAAGCGUUAAAGAUGGUUACUUAAUUAGGAUCUUACUCUCUAAGUAAGGAAAGCCUUCCACUUGCUUACCUAGCCAAUUGAUCGAUUACCUCCUAUGAAUAGCUCAAAGUUAGAAUCACUAAGACCAGAUUACUUAAUAUUAAAUCUAGAGGUCUUCCACCAUAGCAGAGUUGCUAAGAUCUUUCCAACAUUAAUUUGUCUCGGCUGAAAACAAUAGGAAAAUUGCAUCGGAGGACUGAACCUCUCUAUUGGCAUAAGAUGUUGUGGGGUAAAAGUGAGGUUGGGGACCAAUAACUGUUAGGUGAGUGUUCGUCGGCUUUCUUUUAGACCUGAGAAUGACUUAAAAAGGAUGUCGUUGUCAAAGUCUUAACCAACAAAUAAAUAUUUUUUUUUAACUCUUACCAUCCUUUAUUCGAUGAAUAGUGGUUGUAGGAGGUCGAUCCAUAGGGAGACGAUUGGAGCACACAAAUAAAGACUAGAAAUUUCAUUAAGAUUUAUCGAAAUAUUUAUAUUUUUUUUAAAAUUUUUUUAAGGAUAUUUGAUUCAUCUCUAACCAACUAGAGCUAGUUUUCUAUUCAAAAAUAAAUAAAGGAAAGAAAGAAAAUUUUGUAAUUGAAAUCUAAUGCAGAGCAGCGGUCAAACAGCAAAGAAAAACAUUUAAAUAAGAUUUUCAGUACACAUAAAAUAAAUUGCAGAAAUUAAACUGAAAUUUAGAACAUAGAUUGCAUAAAAAUAAAUUUAUGGAUUGCAUAAAAGGACAAGUGUUUACAAAAGUAAAAAAAAGAAAAACAAGGAACAAGUAAUCCUCUCGGUGGAACACUCAAAAUAAAAUAAUAUAUAUAUUUUUUUUCUCUUUUUUUUUCUUUCUUCUUCUCGAAAAAUAGAGCUCCCCUGUUUUUCCUAUUUCUUGGCCCCAUCCGAGCGCUCCUCCCUCUCCCCUUUGGCCCAGCCGACCCCUUUCCUCCUCUGCUCUUCCUCCUUUUAUAGAUCCCCACCAAAGAUCAACCAGCAAUGGAUCCCUAGAUUUCAUGUGGAGAGGAAGGGGAACGCAUGCGUGAUCGUUGGGGCGGAAUGCAUGCAAACGGCUGGAUCAAGGGAGCUGGCUGCAGGAUCGCUUGGAGGAAGACGUGAAUCCAGCGCGGAGGAUCGCUUGGAUCAUGGGCUAGAGUGGGUCCUUAAUUGCAGACGUUGGUGAAUGCGGACGGAAGAAGAGGCGGAGGCGGGGUCAUCCGGGAUUUGGGAAUCUCGAAUCCGGAGGAGACGCGGACGGCCGGAAUCACCGGAAGCUUCGUGGAUGCCGGAAUGGAAGCGGGAGGCUGGGAGGAGGACGUGGAUCCGCCGUGGAGGAUGGCUUCUUGAUGGCGAGAAACGAAAGAGGAUGGCUGCAAUGGGGGGGGCUGAUUUGGAAGCUUGGAUGCGGUGAGAUGCUAGGGUCACGCGUGAGAUGAAUCAGGAAGCGGGGGACACGGGAUGCUGCUGUGAACCUUUCGUCCUUUGGAUCUUUUUGGCUUGAUGAAUCCAAGCCCCUUGGACCAUCCAUUGCGCAUUGCCUUCGGAUGACUGCCAUGUGCCCCUCGAGUGCAAGUGUACUUGAUGAAUGGUGGGUUUGACCACACCAUGGCGAAGUUGAGCGUGCACGGCCUGGGUUAUGCAUCUUUCUAGACCCAAUCUAUACUAAAUGCGCAUUUAAACUUUAAUUUAUAAUAAUCUAUGCCAAACAAAAAUAUAAUAUUAAACCAGUGAAUUUAUUAUUAUCAGUCAGCAAUAACACUAAUUUAGUUGAUAUGUAGAUCGCACUUUUAUACUCUCAUCAGUGAGGAUCCACAACUUUACUUCUGCGGAAAUUAUGGUGAGUCUGACUUAACCAAGGAACGGGACCAAUAACUAUUAGGUGAGGCCCUUAUAACUUGGAGACCAAGUAGGCUAUAAUUUGCUUAAGAAGCAUUGUACAAAGAGUUGUACACUCAUCGUUUAUGUAUCACCAAUAACUGUUAGGUGAGGUGGCAUGUAAAUUGAUGGAACCGUAGCACCUCCACUUAAAAUCUAGAGUCGCAGGUUUCCGUUUCUCUACUAAAGGAGUGUAGAAGAUUCGAGAAAAUAGUGAGAGAUGUUUGUUUUAAAAGUUCCUAAAAUAAAUAAAAAUUUAAAUUCAAGUACAAAAUUCUAACUAGAAUCUUUACUUUUUGUAGAUAAAAAUGUCAGCCUCUAAUCCCUUGACCCGUAUCCUUGAAAACAACCGAUUGACCAGACCCAAUUAUAAGGAUUGGCACCGCAACUUGAAAAUUGUUUUAAGUUGUGAGAAAUUAGGGUAUGUACUAGACCAUGACACCCCGGUAUUACCAGCCCAUCCGACUGCUGAACAGCGUGAGACGCAUGCUACGUGGACGGACGAUGACAAUAACGUUAGGUGCUAUAUUUUGUCAUCCAUGUCCAAUGAACUACAAUGCCAGCAUGAAAACAUGAAGACUGCCGGGACAUAUUGAUUCACGUACAAGAGUUGUAUGGUGAACAGAGUCGCACAGCUCGAUUUAAAGUAUCCAAGAGGCUCUUCAAAACCAAGAUGCAUGAAGGGCAGUCCAUUCAUAAUCAUGGUCUGACCAUGAUAAAGGACUUGGAGGAGCUUGAGAAGCUCGGCAUGAACAUGCACAGGAAAUUAAAAACCAAUUUGAUCCUGCAAUUCACUGUUGGAAAUUGUGUCCCAAAGCCAAUUUUUAAUUGUAAGAAAUUGGAUUAUGUAUAUGUUUUAUUAAAAUGAAUAAAAAUUUAUUCUGACAAUUUUUUAUUCAUCACAAGUGUUACAUCUUCAAAUUGAACUCCUGUGUAUUGUGAUAAANNNNNNNNNNNNNNNNNNNNNNNNNNNNNNNNNNNNNNNNNNNNNNNNNNNNNNNNNNNNNNNNNNNNNNNNNNNNNNNNNNNNNNNNNNNNNNNNNNNNNNNNNNNNNNNNNNNNNNNNNNNNNNNNNNNNNNNNNNNNNNNNNNNNNNNNNNNNNNNNNNNNNNNNNNCAUACAGGUAAGAUGUAGGAGUACAUCGUCACUGAAUAGUGACUCACCUGCGUAGCACUCCACUGUCGGGAGUUAGCUCGUAAAACGUAUGGGCAUAAGUACCCCUUAGACCUGAGACUGUCACGGUGACUUGCAAGCAACUCACUAUACUUAGGCACUGGAUGACCUGAAUUUCUAAUUCAGGGAUCAGAAGGAUGCUGGGUGCAGUCAAGUACUCGCGAAGUCUGUGUAUGAGUCAAGAUGGGAUUGACCACUUCAGAUUUUAGGAGUUGAUGUCUUACUGUAUUUCAAUUCAGUAAAACCUUGGCCAGGGUAAACCAAGUGAUAAGUCACUUGAUUUGAUUAAUUGAAAUACACUAUGAAUGACCGGACCCAGAGUUCGACAGUCCACUCUGAGGUCAUCUUGAGCAUCGAAGGUCAUAGGGAUGAAUUAUACAACAACCAUACGUCUAGGUUCUUGAAUGUUGCUUUGUAUAUUUGACCUAUCCGGACGUCGGGUAUCAUUGCUAGAUGGUCACCUCGAUUAGUGCAUGGAGUAGUCCAUGUACUACCGGCUUAGUGUUCGAACCUAUCGGAGUCACGCACAUUAGUCAAGCUAAGUAGGAAGGUCUUGACCCAAUCUAAUUAAGAAUUAAAUUAUGGGUCAUUUGGAAUUUGGCUCUAUCUAUGUUCAGCUAGCACUGAACAUGAGGUACAUGCUAAAUUUCAUGGAUGAACAACUAAUUAAGUCUGUAUUUCGGGUCAAUCAAGUUUUAAUUAAUAUAAUUGAACUUGAUCAGGACUCAAUUGUUGAGAUUGAAUUUGAUUGGGUCUAAAUUAGUGUAAUUGGGCUCGAUCAUGAUUUAAUUGGGAUUUAAUUUCGUAUUUGUUCUGAUCUAAGUCGGACUUGGAUCAAGCCGAAACUAGACCCAAUUGAAUCUCCUAUGAGUCAGACUCAUGUGGAAUUUUUUCAGGUCAAAAAUUCAUUCAAAUGGGCUGCAAAGUUGGUUUAGAACCAAAUUGACUAACUUAUGAUCAAAUGGGCUAACCCAUUUGUAUCACAAGUUGACUUUUCCCAUUUAGAGUGGUUGCUGACCGUGAAUAAAUCCCAUGGACCCGUGGACCACUCCCUUCACAUGGACCCUUAGCACCUUUUUUUGUGAGCCGCGACUCACCUGGGACGCACGCGUCCGCAACCCUUCCGACCGUCGAUUGCGCGGCCAACCGGCCUCCGGCCAGACGGCCGACUGGACCGGAAUGUGCGAUUUUGAACCGCCAACAUUCCAGUCCAGUUUGAUUUUUGAAAUCCAGCAAUAAUUGACAUUAAUCACUGUUUUAUUCCCCUGUUGUUUUUGAAACAAUCGUUAUCAAAUUCAUUCAUAUUUGAUAAUGAAUGAAUUCAAUAACGCUAGACCAUUUACGCCUCUUAACUCCUCUCAGCGUUGGCCUAUUUGUAGGCCACCGUUUCCUCUCGAAUGCAGUGAGAGGGAAAAUUUUCUUGGGAAGAAAACGUGAGACAGAGAGAUCGGUUUAUUCUGUGAAGAAGAAGAAGAGUGAGGAAGGAGUUCCUCUCUCUCUCUGGUGGUUUGGAGUUCGGCCCAGGUCCGGCGUCCUCUCCUCCCUUCCAUUCCUCUGUGAUCAGGAUCAAGAGACGGGUGUCUCUUCGGCCUAGGCGUGCUGUGAACAAACGGGAGAAAGAAACCGAAGAAAGAAAGAAAGAGAAGAAAGAAAGAAAUAGGAAGGUCCUUUUUCUAGUUUUCCUUUCUUCCAAGGGUCCUUUUGCAAAAGAUUGUUUUGCACGAGUAAAGACAUCAUCUAACCUUCUUGCGAAGCUUGACGUGCGUGCGAAGUAGAGGACUUGCAGAUCCAGGCCUUGCAGAGCUACCUUCAGGGAUCUAGAUUCAGAUCCAGAUUCAAAUUACCUCGACCAACUUCCGCUACGAGCUUGAGGUAAUUUUACAUAAAAGUUAAAUUUAAUAUUUAUAAUUGUUAUAAAUAAAUAAAAAAUUUUAAAACUGAUUUUUCAUGCCUGGCGUUCGAUUUUAUCGGACAACUCGAGAAAUGUUUCCUUCAAUUAGUGCAAUGCUUUUAUGAUGGAUUGUCUGAUCGAAACCGUCAGAUGGUUGAUGCUUCUUGUGGGGGAACUUUCAUGCUUAAAAAUGAGCAUGAAGCAUGAGAAUUAUUUGAAAAUCUCAACGAAAACUCCCUCCACCAUGCUUCCUGUUCCAUCAAGCACCCCCGAGUUCUCAAAGAAAAGGGACUAUUUGUGAAAUAAGUCAUUCUAUGGACCUGUCUAGCAAGGUAGAUGCAUUGUCCCAUAAGAUUGACCUACUGAUGAUGGGAGGACAUGUCGUUAACUCUUCCCAAGCACAAGUGUGUGCUAUCUGUUCUAGCCCAUCUCACCCUAUUCAUGAGUGCCCCUCAGCAUCCCAAUUCUCCGAACUCGUGCAAGAACACAUCAAUGCUGCUCAAACACAGCCCAGACCAGGUAAUGACCCAUUUUUCAAUACAUAUAACCCGGGAUGGCGCAACCAUCCAAACUUUUUUUGGAAGCAGCAAGCUUCGAAUACUGCCCAACCCUACUUCCAAAAUUUUCAAAACCCUCAGAAUUUUCAAACCCCACAAAAUAUUCAUCCCUACCGUCCUUCGACUCAAUUUCAACACACUACUCCUCCACCCCAUAGAAACACAGCCUUUGAGGAGAAAGUGUUGACCUCCCUUCAAGGUUUGGAAACUAUUAUACAAUUGGUGCACUCUCACACGCAAUCUAUCGCCAAGCUAGAAUCCCAAAUGGGGCAACUAGCUAAUGCACUGAACAAGCGAGAGGAAGGAAAGCUUCCAAGCCAACCAGUGAGUAAUCCUAGGGGACAAUACAUGGCUCAAGAAAAUCAACUAAAUACAAUUCAUCAUGAACAAGCCAAUGCUUUGACUACCCUAAGGAGUGGACGUAUAGUAGACAAUAGGAUUGGGGAGGAUAACAAUAAGAAAGGUGACGAAGAGGAUAAGAAUGUGUCAAAAGAAAAUCUAAAACCUUCUUCUUUUUCUUCCGCUAGUCCACCUUCUGCCAAAACUCACAUUCCAAAAGUCCCAUUUCCUGACGCUCUUAAUUCAUCCUCUCCCUUUGGCAAAAAGAAAACUUCUCUAGAGGAGAUGAUGGAGGUUUUUAAACAAGUCAAAAUCAACCUCCCGCUUCUUGAUGCUAUUAGACAAGUUCCCUCCUAUGCCAAAUUUUUCAAAGACCUUUGUACCCAAAAACGAAAAUCUAGAACGCAUGUGCCUAAAAAGGUCUUCCUAACUGAGCAAGUGAGUUCUAUUCUCCAACACAACACCCCUCCGAAAUUCAAAUAUCCUGGUGCUCCCACCAUCUCCUAUGUCUUAGGAAAUAAUUUUAUUGAUCGAGCACUCUUAGAUCUAGGGGCAAGUGUCAACCUUUUACCUUACUCAGUUUAUGAGAAACUUGGGUUAGGUGAGUUAAAACCAACCUCGGUAUCCCUUCAAUUGGCUGAUCGAUCUGUAAAAACACCACGUGGGAUAAUUGAAGAUGUUCUUGUCAAGGUAGACAAAUUCUAUUUUCCAGUAGAUUUUAUCGUCCUUGAUAUGAAAUAUGAGCCUAAUCCUAAGAAACAAAUCAAUUAGUCGUUGACCCCUAGGGACAUUCGAGCUCAAUAGGAUGAAGAUCACCGAAAGUUGCACCAAUUUCGCUCUGUGGCUCAGUUGAUGUCUAGGCAAGCUUUGUCCCUAUAAGGGAGAUAGUUCAUCUGUUCGAGGUAAGUGGUUUUUAAGUGGGACCUUUGCAACGCAUCGUGACCCCCCUACUUACCUGGGAACUUACCUGGUCAACUCAGUCAUUAGACCGGAUUGGAGGCUUAGGUGCCCUCUUCAAACCAGUUAGGAGCUGUCUAGUGAUUUUAGGGCAAACAUAAGGAAUUGAUGUGUUUUUCUUUUAAUGCAUGCUUGACUGCACUUGACUGAUUAGAAAAGCAUUAGUGUAUGCUAGGGUGUCGUUCCAGAUCUUCUGAAUUAGUACCUUUUGAUUCUGAAAUAGAGUGUUCUAUUAGGGCCCUUCGAGCUGAAAUCCACACCUAUAGAACCAUAGGAUCUACACCACUUGUCGAGAUGGCUGAAGAGCAACCCAAACUGCUAAAGGAGUACUUCACUCCUUCCAUUUAUAC
RNAcentral lists this long non-coding RNA (32843 nucleotides) under Phoenix dactylifera (date palm). RNAcentral describes it as "long non-coding RNA (PDAC_LNC008167)". The record is from RNAcentral. Lineage: Eukaryota; Viridiplantae; Streptophyta; Magnoliopsida; Arecales; Arecaceae.